CUUUUCAUAUUGUAAACGUGCUUUUUUUCUAUUUUCAUAUGGUUGUAUUUAUUACUUUUUUACUUUUUAAUGGAAUAUGAGCCACAGUUAGGAAAGUUUUCCCCACUCCUAUGCUAUACAACAAUUAUUUGGUGUUUUUUAAAGUAUUUGCAUGGUUUUAAUUUUUAUAUUUAAUCUCUGAUCCAUGCAUGAUUUAAUUCUGUAUGAUGUGAGAAACAUAUGGUUAUCCAAUUUUUUUCAACAUUAUUUAUUGUUUUCUUUCUUUUUUUUUUUUGAUACAGACUCUUGCUUUGUUAUCUAGGCUUGAAUGCAGUGGCUCCAUCUUGGCUCACUGCAACCUCUGCCUCCUGGGCUCAAGUGAUCCUCCCACCUCAGCUUCUCAAGUAGCUGGGACUGCAGGCAUGUGCCACCACACAUGGCUAACUUUUGUAUUUUUUUGUAGAGUUGGGGUCUCGCUAUGUUGCCCAGGCUGGUCCCAAAUUCCUGAUCUCAAUCGAACCGCUUGCCUUGGCCUCCCAAAGUACUGGGAUUUCAGGUGUGAGCCACCAUGCCUGGCCUCCAACAUUAUUAAAACCUCAAUCUUUCCACACUGAUUUGAGAUGGUGAUUUUGUUAGUAGUAAAUUUAAAAGGAGAAACUAAAAUGUAGUAAAAUAACAAAGACAUACAAUUUAGGAAGAAAUGCCAAAUUGAGAGAGCAGACUUCUCAACAGCAACAGGAGAUACAAGAAAAUGGAUAAAUAAUACUUUUGAACUGCUGAGAGAAAUAAAUUUUCAACUUAAAAAAUUUUACCCAGCUAAUUAAAUACUCAAGAGUAAGGGAUAAAUACACACAUAGUUGGACAAAUAAAAACACUCACAAAUGAAGCACAUCAUAAAAAAACAAAUAAAACUAACAAAGAAGCCCAAAAAUUCAGAGAAAUGUUGAAAGAAAAAAUCAAAAUCAUGUGAAUUAAAAAGCAUUGUGUGGGUGUAGAACAAUAAUGAUAAUUAAUAUAAAAAUAAAAAGAAGGUAGAAUUAAUACACUAAAAUAAAAAUAACUUGUAUGAGAGAUGCAUACAACUAAGUUCCAUAUACUAUGAGAGAUGUGUACAACUAAGUUCCAUAUACUAUUAGGGAAAAAGUUAAAUGAUUAAUUAAUUUUAGGCUUUUAAAAGUUGAUAUGUUGAAACUUUAAAAAUACCGAAUUUUAAAGAACUAAAUAAUGGAAAGAACUAAGUAAUGGAAAUAUGCCAAUAAAUGAAUAAUUUGCAAAUCAAUGGUUGCAAAAAAUAAACAAAAAUAUCACUCCAAAACAGUACAAAAAUGAGGAAAAAUGAAAGCAAAAGAAGUAGUAUAAAUAGGAAGUAGAAGGCAGGAGUUAAUAAUUAUAAUUAAAAUGAUAAAGGAAUAAAUAAUAAAAUGAAUAAUUUUCUUGAACAUAUUGUUACCAGUGGUGACUGAAGAAGAGGUAGACAAUAGGAAUUGACCAGCAAACAUUUAACACAUUGAAACAAUGAUAUAUCUCUCACCCAGGAAAUGAGUUCUAUAUUAUUUACAAGGUAAUGUUAUUAACUCUUCAAAAAAUAAAUAAUCUCUAGUGUAUAUACUUUCCCCCCAAGAAUAGGUGUGCUUUAUAUAAGUUUACUAUCAACAUUUGACAAGGCAAUAAAGCAAAAGGAAAAUUAUAGGUGAAUCAUUCUGAAGAACAUAAAUACAAAAAGAAUACGUGUUGACAGAAAGACCAAAUGUAAUACAGGAAUGUAAAGAUUAUCCAGUUCCAGAAUAUCUGUCAAAAAGAAAAAGAAAGAGCACAUGCUUAUCUCGACAGAUAUGGAAAAAUUAUUUUAUAAAUAUUUAUGUUUAAACAAUGGCUCUGAAAAUAUAAGGAUAUUUCUGUUAUCAGAUGAAAAGUGUCCAACAAAAUGCACAGAAAAAAGUACUUAGUGAUAAAAUUUUAAAAGCAUUUCCGUUAACAUUGUGGGAAUAUUUGCCAACAUUUGUUGCAACUAUUCAACACUGUUUGAGAGGUUAUAAACACUUACUGUGCAGAAGAAAUAAGAUUAACAAUUAAAGAGAAAGAGAAAAAAUUGUUGUUACUUGCCAAAUUUUCUAUACCAGAAAAUUCACAAUGCUACAGACAAAAUGCUACACUUAAAUAAGAACCUUCAGCUAGUUUUCUAAAUAAAAGAUUAAUAACAAAAGUUUAUUACCAUUUUUUGCAUUUGUAAUAACUAAUGUAAAAUGCUACUCAAUACCACAAAGGCAUGAACAAUCCUCUCAUUAAUUAAUAAACAAUAAAAUUUCAACUUGGAAAAAUGACUUUCUAAAAUUUAUACACAAAAAUGGGGGGGAAAACAGGCUUAUUCUAAGACAAUUUUCAAAAUGGAGAAUAAUACUGGAAGACUUGUUACAAUAGGAUAAUGAUACUUAUCUUAAAGGGAUAGUACCUAAAACAGUGUGUUUUUGGCACAAGGCUGAACAAAUAAACCAAAGAAACAGAACAAAGACUCAAGAAACCAACCCACACCUGCACAGGAAUUUGAUUUGUAACAGAGUUUAGUUGCGGAAAUUAAAAAAAUAUUGGGGAAGCACAGGUAAUUCAAUAAAUACAAGUUUUGGAACAUCAGCAUUAUCAAAGUCUACUGUAAAUUGUCCCUUCUUUGAAUCUUUAAAAUAAGUCAUUCUGUAUCUCACAAAUUAAUAGUUGGUUGUGUUUUUCACCCAUGUCUCUAUCAUCAUUCUAGGAGUUUAUUUUCUAAUAAACUGGGAUGUGUAUAGUAAAUAUAUGUUCAAGUGGAUACGGCAUCUGAAAGGGCUUUAAAGUCAGAAUAUGUGCUCAAUUUUUGGUCCUGUUUCUCACAAUUUCCCCGGGCCAUGAGUUUCUUAUUUCAAAAAUGGGAACAGAAAUAUUUGCCUUCUGUAUCGAUAGAUGUGAAGUAAAAAUGAUCAAAUGAAUGUGAAAAUAUUCUAUAAAUAUGAAACUCUACAUGUGUUAAUUCUUUGUUGCUAUAUUAUUUUCAAAGCCUAGGAUAUAAUAGAUGCGAAGCAUGAUGCAGAUAGCCAACAGGACUGGCUUCAUGGGCAUUUGACCUGUGUGGUCAACCGAGUGCGCAUGUGAGCAGAGGAGUUACAAGCAAUAUGCACAUCCCCUGUUCCUUGCCAGCCAUUUCUAUGUAGUGUUCACAGUGUCUCAUGGAUAUAGUACUCCAGGGACCCAGGAUGCAUGGGAGACUCAGAGAACUACGAGGGAGAUUUGUUAUGUAUAAGACAGUGAUAAAGAUGGAAAGGGUAUAUUUUGUCAUGAGGAAGAAAAUAUCUCUCAAGAUAAGAGGGCCCUGGAUGACUGGUUGUUUCAGUUCGGUUAAUUCCACCCCCUAAUGGAAAGGAGUGGAUUCUGGCUUGAGGAACAUGUGUGCAAACAAAGAUUAUUCUGAGGCGAAGAAAGAGAGGAAGAAGAAGAAAAGAAAUAAGGAAGGAAGUGAGAAAGAGGGAAAGUGUUUCUCCAUUCAAG
Molecule: long non-coding RNA, 3492 nt
Filed under: Homo sapiens (human)
Lineage: Eukaryota; Metazoa; Chordata; Mammalia; Primates; Hominidae
Description: HSALNT0028043
Source: RNAcentral